GAGGAAAACCUGUUACACACAAAUAGACGCUCCUACACAUACAGACUAUAAAUACUGAGCAUAGUGCUGAACAGACUGUGCUUUUUAAAAAGGCUACUCUUUGGGAGAGUAUUGACUAGAUCAGCACUUUGCUUCAGAUACCAUGGGACAGAUUUGAUAGAUUUUGAAGCUCUGAUGCAGCAUUUGCUCUUCCUGAUGAGGUAGCUGGCAUUCUGGGGUUCUGCAAACAGAGAGAUGGGUGAGAAUGGUAGUUGGCUGGCUGCAGUAGAUCUCUGCAGUAGAUUAGUUCUGCUUCUUGACUGUUCAGGAUUGGAAGAUUACAGAAAUUACAACAGCAGGAUUAAUAGAAACCAGCAGAUAGAAUACAAUAAACAAAACUUGGGUUCUUAACCUUGGGCCCUUUAGCACUCACAAUAAGCUUACAUCACUUCUGCUGUUUUACAGCAUAGCAUUCAGGAACCUCUGUUAUGAGAUGACUGCAUUGUUCAGCUAUAUUUGAGCGCAGCAUCCAGGAUCCAGCACAUCAGAAAAGUAACUGCUUUACCUCCGCCAUUCUCAGAGCUGUGGCAGUGACUUCUGGAAGUGCAGCAGCUCUUGAAGAGGUACAGAAUGCACAGCAUGUAGACUUUUGCUUCUGUGACAAUAGACACAAACCUUCCAUCCUGGUCUGAUUUGAUGAGAUUGAGAUUCAUUCUAUGCGUCUGUCAUUCCUUCAUUGACUGAAGUAUUGCAAGGUACACAUGCACACCCUCUGAAAGAGAGUUCUUCUUGAAAUAAGAAGAUGAUUGCGCUCAAUGCAAGAGUUAUGUCCUGAGUGUUCCCCAUGCAAAUUGAAGCAGCAAGCUUGUUGGAAGGGAGAUAGAGGAAGACGAUGAAGAGCACUGCUCUGCUGUGAUAUCCACUAAAGAAGAACAUUCAGGGUCCUACUUAAACUCUCCAAAUCCAGGUGAAACCACGCUGCAGCUGCCAUGCCAACACUUAAACUCUGUGUACUGCAAGCCACCAUCACGUCAGAGAAGAUGCACCAGGCACAAGAUCUAGAGUACAUCGGAUCCAAAGCGAGUAAGCUGGGAGUAUAAAGCAGAAUGGAACCAAAUUCAUCCACUGCAGUUGACGGUUACACUAGGGUCUGAAUUUGGCCCAGUGCAUUUAACCACCUUCACCAUGUUCCUGUGAUACAGCUUUUAAAUAUUUUAUAGGAUUUGGAUUUUUUGUU
Molecule: long non-coding RNA, 1216 nt
Organism: Terrapene triunguis (Three-toed box turtle)
Lineage: Eukaryota; Metazoa; Chordata; Testudines; Emydidae
Exons: 4
Source: RefSeq, a predicted model, not a curated record